RNAcentral lists this transfer RNA (73 nucleotides) under Verminephrobacter eiseniae EF01-2. It matches the Rfam family "tRNA". From Rfam's summary of the family: Transfer RNA (tRNA) molecules are approximately 80 nucleotides in length. Their secondary structure includes four short double-helical elements and three loops (D, anti-codon, and T loops). Lineage: Bacteria; Pseudomonadati; Pseudomonadota; Betaproteobacteria; Burkholderiales; Comamonadaceae. The record is from Rfam by way of RNAcentral.
UCCUCGAUAGCUCCGUCGGUAGAGCGCCGGACUGUUCAUCCGUAGGUCCCUGGUUCGAGCCCGGGUCGAGGGG